This 334-nucleotide ribosomal RNA is filed under the name uncultured bacterium. RNAcentral's name for it is "bacterial SSU rRNA". It matches the Rfam family "Bacterial small subunit ribosomal RNA", at positions 1172 to 1505 of the family's 1533-position model. The record is from RNAcentral.
GGUGGGGAUGACGUCAAGUCCUCAUGCCCUUUAUGUCCAGGGCUACACACGUGCUACAAUGGCCGGUACAAACCGCUGCAAACCCGCGAGGGUGAGCCAAUCGGAGAAAGCCGGCCUCAGUUCGGAUUGCAGUCUGCAACUCGACUGCAUGAAGCUGGAAUCGCUAGUAAUCGCGGAUCAGCAUGCCGCGGUGAAUACGUUCCCGGGCCUUGUACACACCGCCCGUCACAUCACGAAAGUGGGUUGUACUAGAAGCAGGUGAGCUAACCGCAAGGAAGCAGCCUUCCAAGGUGUGAUUCAUGAUUGGGGUGAAGUCGUAACAAGGUAGCCGUAA